UCCCAGCGGUCCAAGUCGCAGCCACAUUUGUUGGGUCUAAAAUAUCCGUAGCUUGCUAUUCAAGUCUUGUGUGAAAUCGGGCCUCUUAAGGGUCCGGCGGGCACAGGAUACUGUUUAGCUAGAGACCGGGAGACGUAAGAAGUACAGAUAGGGUAGCGGUAAAAUGUGUUGAUCCUAUCUGGACUAACAAUAGCGAAGGCAUCUUACGAGAACGGUUCUGACAGUGAGGGAUGAAGGCUAGGGGCGCAAAGUG
Molecule: ribosomal RNA, 253 nt
Filed under: uncultured archaeon
Lineage: Archaea
Description: partial 16S ribosomal RNA
Rfam family: Archaeal small subunit ribosomal RNA
Source: RNAcentral